UACGAAGGGGGCUAGCGUUGCUCGGAAUCACUGGGCGUAAAGCGCACGUAGGCGGUUCUUUAAGUCAGGGGUGAAAUCCUGGAGCUCAACUCCAGAACUGCCUUUGAUACUGGGGAUCUCGAGUCCGGGAGAGGUGAGUGGAACUGCGAGUGUAGAGGUGAAAUUCGUAGAUAUUCGCAAGAACACCAGUGGCGAAGGCGGCUCACUGGCCCGGUACUGACGCUGAGGUGCGAAAGCGUGGGGAGCAAACAGG
RNAcentral lists this ribosomal RNA (253 nucleotides) under uncultured bacterium. RNAcentral's name for it is "partial 16S ribosomal RNA". It matches the Rfam family "Bacterial small subunit ribosomal RNA", at positions 524 to 776 of the family's 1533-position model. The record is from RNAcentral.